This 491-nucleotide ribosomal RNA is filed under the name uncultured bacterium. RNAcentral describes it as "partial 16S ribosomal RNA". It matches the Rfam family "Bacterial small subunit ribosomal RNA", at positions 29 to 507 of the family's 1533-position model. The record is from RNAcentral.
GUGCACGCUGGCGGUAGGCCUAACACAUGCAAGUCGAACGGCAGCACCGUAAGAGCUUGCUCUUACGGGUGGCGAGUGGCGGACGGGUGGGGAAUACAUCGGAAUCUACUUUUUCGUGGGGGAUAACGUAGGGAAACUUACGCUAAUACCGCAUACGACCUACGGGUGAAAGCAGGGGAUCUUCGGACCUUGCGCGAUUGAAUGAGCCGAUGUCGGAUUAGCUAGUUGGCGGGGUAAAGGCCCACCAAGGCGACGAUCCGUAGCUGGUCUGAGAGGAUGAUCAGCCACACUGGAACUGAGACACGGUCCAGACUCCUACGGGAGGCAGCAGUGGGGAAUAUUGGACAAUGGGCGCAAGCCUGAUCCAGCCAUACCGCGUGGGUGAAGAAGGCCUUCGGGUUGUAAAGCCCUUUUGUUGGGAAAGAAAAGCAGCAGGUUAAUACCCCGCUGUUCUGACGGUACCCAAAGAAUAAGCACCGGCUAACUUCGUG